GUGCAGCAGUCGAGAAACCUUCGCAAUGCGGGAAACCGCGACGAGGGGACUCCCAGUGCCUACGCUCAGCGUAGGCUGUUCCCGAGCCUAGAAAGCUCGGGGAGUAAGGGCUGGGUAAGACGGGUGCCAGCCGCCGCGGUAAUACCCGCAGCCCGAGUGGUGGCCACUAUUAUUGGGCCUAAAGCGUCCGUAGCCGGCCCGGUAAAUGCCUGGGUAAAUCGUGAGGCCUAACCUCACGAAUUCCGGGUAGACUGCCGGGCUAGGGACCGGAGGGAGGGAGAGGGUACUCCGAGGGGUAGGGGUGAAAUCCUGUAAUCCCUGGAGGACCACCGGUGGCGAAGGCGCUCUCCUAGGACGGGUCCGACGGUGAGGGACGAAAGCCAGGGGAGCGAACCGGAUUAGAUACCCGCGUAGU
This 415-nucleotide ribosomal RNA is filed under the name uncultured microorganism. Its description in RNAcentral is "bacterial SSU rRNA". It matches the Rfam family "Archaeal small subunit ribosomal RNA", at positions 330 to 745 of the family's 1478-position model. The record is from RNAcentral.